RNAcentral lists this transfer RNA (74 nucleotides) under Kribbella shirazensis. RNAcentral describes it as "tRNA-Ile". It matches the Rfam family "tRNA". Rfam says of the family: Transfer RNA (tRNA) molecules are approximately 80 nucleotides in length. Their secondary structure includes four short double-helical elements and three loops (D, anti-codon, and T loops). Lineage: Bacteria; Bacillati; Actinomycetota; Actinomycetes; Propionibacteriales; Kribbellaceae. The record is from RNAcentral. RNAcentral also lists the same sequence under 27 other names.
GGGGCGGUAGCUCAGCUGGUUAGAGCAGGGGACUCAUAAUCCCUGGGUCACGGGUUCGAGUCCCGUCCGCCCUA